This 215-nucleotide long non-coding RNA is filed under the name Hordeum vulgare. RNAcentral's name for it is "long non-coding RNA (HVUL_LNC018850)". Lineage: Eukaryota; Viridiplantae; Streptophyta; Magnoliopsida; Poales; Poaceae. The record is from RNAcentral.
GGGCAUUGUGUCGGGGUUUCAGGGCAUCGUGUCGGGGUGUCGGGGCAUCGUGUCUGGGUGUCAGGGUGUCAUUUUCUUCUUCCUCCUCUUCUUUUUCCUCUUCUUCCUUCUCUUCUUCUUCUUCCUUUUCUUCUUCUUCUUCUUGUUCUUCUUCUCCUCCUCCUCCUCCUCCUCCUUCUUCUUCUUCUCCUCCUUCCCCUUCUUCUCCUUCUUCU